AUAAAGGGAGCAGAUGAAUGACUGAAGCCCUACAGCUCCACUAAAGAUUAGAGUAAAAUCUGCACUUCAAAAGAUCCUGUAUUCUUGCAAGAGAACAGAGCUCCUGAUCACCUGUGUGCGUCCUUUGAGUGGAUGGCAGCUGCAUCUCUGCAUUACAGCUAGUUAGAAUGAUGAGUCCUUGCUAUGCCUCAAGCACUGUUUCGAGUGUUUGAUGUCUAUUAUCUCACUUCAUCCUCACCAGGACCCCAUCCGAGGAUUUGCGACUUGAGUAGCAUUGACGGUGGUGAUGGGGAGCCUGGCAAGACAGCAGAUGUCUACAGCAAGAGGAGGGAAUGGGAAGCUGCUCUGAUGGCGUAAUCAUCAAGGUUGCUGAUAAAAUGGCCUUAAUUUCAGUUGACAGUAACUAUUGGAUCCCCAGGAAUAUGUUUGCAUAUUUGGGGAGAAAAUACUAUUGGAGGGGAACAGAAAUGCUACUAAGGGUCUCACUGUGUCACCCAGGCUGGAGUCCAUCAAAGCUCACUGCAGCCUUAACCUUCUGUGCUCAAGGGAUCCUCCCACUUAAGCCUCCUGAGUAGCUGGAACUACAGGCAUAUGCCACCGAGCCUGGCUAAUCUUUGAUUUUUUUGUACAGAUUGUGUCUCCUUAUGUUGCUCAGGCUGGACUCAAACUUCUGGUCUCAAGCGAUCUUUCCAUCUUAGCUUCCCAAAUUGUUGGAAUUAUGGACAUGAGCCAGUGUGCUUGGCCUGAUUUUUUUUUUUUUUUAAUGAGAAAAACGUUCCUUAAGAAAAGUUUCAUUGUAGUAAGUAAUCAGGAUGAAUAGCAUAUAUUAGCUCCGAAAAACUUUGGAAGCCUUCUUACUUCACUGAAAGUGGGGUUUAUCAACUCAGCUGCCAACGGCUUUCCUCCCAUUUAGCCUUUGUGUGAAAAACACAAUUAAUACUUUCUUGAGUAGUACAAGCUGAGCCGAGAAACCAUCUUUCAGAGGUGUAAAUUCUUGCCUUGGGUGGAAGGCUGGAUGUUAUUAACUUUCACAAUUUCUUUCAACACUUGAUUUUCCUCAAUCAUGGUAAAGACAUAUUAUUUAUUUUUCUUUUUAGUUGGGAAAGUUGAUUCACGUGACUUUUGCAUUUUGUAGAAUUUUUAAGAGGUAAGAUGAAAAUUAAACAUUUGUGCGUGUUAAGGAUCCAUGUUUCUCUGUCAGAUGUCUGGUAAUUUGCUUGACGAUUUUUGCAAAGAUAAUUUAGAAAUUAAGGAAACCAUUCUCUACGUUUUUCUUUACAUUAAAAGAAAAAAGUCUCCAAUAAAAAAUUUCUCUAUCCACAUUACAGGUUAAUUUACAAUUUCAGCUGCUGGUGGCUGGCUUGAGGCCUCAAUGUUAAAAAUGAGAAUGAGGCUAAUUCUAGUGAAUAGAGGUCCACACAGACAAUUGCUAUCUUUGUUAGAUGCUCCAGUACCAAGCCUAAGAAUAGGAAAAAAACUAAAAACACCCUGGAAAUGUAACAGAAUCAUCUUUUGCUGCCAUCUUUCUCUUCAGUAUAAGCUGAGCAUGUGUUUGAUGCAUAGCGGUGUGGGAACUAUAUACUUUCUUCUUACUUUCCUUCAGUAAAGGAGCUUAGCUCCAUUAAGCAUUGUUCAAGAUAGUGUAUUUAAAAUUAACAUAAAAGGUAAAAGAUUUUAAUGCCUUUUAAUAUAAGGAAAAUUGAUUUUAUUAAAAUGCUUUAAGAUACUACAAUACAAUUACUUAUUUAUCACUCUAACUCUGUAUUGUGAGUGUAGCUUCCUUUCCAAGUAUACUGAUUUUUUUAUGGGUUUUGGAAGUAGGAAACGAACCAAAGUAGUCUAUCAAAAUUCUCAUUCACCGUCUUUCUUAAGCAGAACCAAGUCCAUCAUGCCGACGGAGACUAUUUCAAGAGUAGAAAUUCUUUUUAUUCAAAGGGGUAGGAUUAAACAAUGAAAGACAGGUUAUAUUUUUCUAACCUGUGUUUUGCUGAGCUGAAGCAUGAAAUAUCAAAUAUUUAUAAUAAAGUAUUCAUAGUUAAGUACACUGAAUCAUUAAAAUGUUGGAAAUAUUGAAAUGGAUGAUCGAUCUUAUUGGAGUCCUUGUGUGAUACAGGAACUUCUGUAUUUACUGUUAACAAGAAAAACUCAAAAGGUUACAUUCCUUUUUAGAUUCAGAGCUCAAAUAGAAUUGAUUUAAAAUUUAAAGCACUUCUAAUAAGACAUUUCAGCAUUGCAUAAGUUAAACAUGGAGAAAAAAAUAAAUACAUUUAUGUUUUUCUAUUAAUACUUACUCUAAGUUGUUUACUAGAACUCAGAAUAAAUGUCUCUAAAGAUUUAGUUUUAAUUUUUGGCUGCUUAGCUCUUACAAUGACAUUUAUUCUGAGUACCAUAUUAAAUGUGUAGUAAUAAUUAUAUGUAUUUUUCCUAGCUUGUGAUAUGAGGUAUCUUGCAUUUUGGCAUAUUAUUCUGAUUUUAGAGACAGGGUCUUGCUCUGCUGCCCAGGCUGGAAUGCAGUGAUGUGAUCACAGCUCACUGCAGUCCUGUACUCUUAGGCUUAAGUGAUUCUCCUGCCUCAGCCUCUGAAGUAUCUAGGAUUACAGGCAUGUGGCACUAUAUCUGGCUAAUUUAUUUUUUAAUUUUUUUGUAGAGACGAGGACUUGCUAUGUUGCCAGUUUGGUCUUGAACUCUUGGUCUCAAGUGAUUCUCCUGCCUUGGGUUCCCAAAGCGUUGGGACGGCAGAUGUCAGCCACCGCGCCUGGCCUUAUUCUUAUAAACUCAAAAUUAUCUGAAUUCAAGCAAGGAUCAAAGGUUGCAGCAAAAUGUCACAUUUAAGAAGCUGAGUAAACACAGAAUGAGAAGCCCUAAAGCGAGGUGCUGUGUUAAUAGACAGGCUAAUCACUUCCUGAAUACAUAAGAACUAGCUCUUUGUAGAACUAGCAGAGAGACUGCUAACAGGUUUUUGUUUUAGAUUGAUGGAUUGAUUUUCCAGGAACAGGCCUGAUGAGAGCCCUCAUAAAAAUUGCCUCUCAUAGCCUAUUGCAAAUAAGUAUAAUCUUACAUAAAUCAAAGCACUAGUACGUAAGCAUCCCAAGGACAGAGAUUUUGUCUGUGUUGGUUCACAGCUAUAUCCAGAGUUCAGGCAAGUGCCUGGCAAAUAGUGGAGGCUCAGUAAGUAUCUCUUGAGUGAACUGAAUGAAUGAAAACCUUGACUUUUCCUUUAAAUAGGAUUAACAUUAAAAGCAAAACAAAACAGCAUGCUUUCCUACUUCCUUGAUGGAUUUCUGACCCUAAGAAUGCUGUUAGGCAAGUAAGAAGGGCUGGAGAGCAGCAUGUGAAGGGCACAGUGCAAAUGUGUACAUUUAGCAAGUAUUUCAGAAAUCUCGGAUUUGGUGAAGUAUUUGCUGGAGUGUGUGGUGUGAUGUCACACUUAACUCAGAUACAUGUGUCACAUUUGAAUUACAAAUAUUCUGUCCAGCAUCUCCCUAACUUGAGUGACUAUGCUUAUACUUUUUUCUACACAGGGUUUUCAUAAAUCUUUGAUCCUUGACCAAGUGUCAUAGAGAACUUUUCUUAAGUGAAACUCUCUGCAAACAGUUAGCUUAUAUUUAAGUUUCUAUUCAGCUUUGAGUAUAGUAUUUUGGCUAAAAUAAUGUUUUGCAUGGUCCAUUUCACAGGUGAGGUUGAUUAUAUAGCAUUCAUUACUCUUAAUUUAGCUUACAACCUCAGAUAGUGGUUUAAAAUAUAUAACACUCAUAACUAUGUCUAAGUUAAUCAAAUUUAAAUUAUUUUCUACUCCUGUAGCAAACAUUUUUUGAAAACAGAAAAAAGUCCCUUUUUACAGCAUAGGCUCGCUGAUAAUUUGAAUAGAAAACCACUCAUUUCUAUACAUGAAAUUUUCCUGAUUGUCUUUGUAAUAAAAACUGAGAGGAUAUUCGUCAUCCCUGGCUGAGCUGCACUGAAUUCUACUCUUUUAUACAUGUAAUAAAACAGCAAACAACAUCAAAAUACAUUAUUAAUUAGGCAUGAAUUUCUUAAAAUGGUUUACAUCAUCUCAUUUAACUUCAGAGCUUGCAGACAUUAACAGUAAGUCACCACAAAGCUACCAUUGAUUUAUAAUGCACAUUACCACAUCAAGCCUGGCCCAAGGACUCUGGGCCCAGAAGGAAAAACAGCCAUGGCAGAAAUAUAAUGAAAACAUAUCUGUAUUCACAGAAAACAAUUAGGCUUAAUGUAAUUAGAGUGAACAUUCAGGUUCAUUUUAUUCAAAGGUAAUGUUUCU
This 4279-nucleotide long non-coding RNA is filed under the name Homo sapiens (human). RNAcentral's name for it is "HSALNT0128408". The record is from RNAcentral. Lineage: Eukaryota; Metazoa; Chordata; Mammalia; Primates; Hominidae.